UACGUAGGGGGCGAGCGUUGUCCGGAGUUACUGGGCGUAAAGCGCACGCAGGCGGUCUGCUAAGUUUGGAGUGACAGUUGGUGGCUUAACUGCCAAAGUGCUUCGAAAACUGACAGACUUGAGGGCUUCAGAGGGACACGGAAUUCCGGGUGGAGUGGUGAAAUGCGUAAAGAUCCGGAGGAACACCAAAGGCGAAGGCAGUGUCCUGGGGAGUACCUGACGCUCAGGUGCGAAAGCCAGGGGAGCGAACGGG
Molecule: ribosomal RNA, 253 nt
Filed under: uncultured bacterium
Lineage: Bacteria
Description: partial 16S ribosomal RNA
Rfam family: Bacterial small subunit ribosomal RNA
Source: RNAcentral